UCGGGUGUGGUGUAGCGGUAACAUCGCUGACUCUCACUACCCAGUAGUGUACCCUCUCAGCAGCCCGGGGUUCGACUCCCCGCAUCCGAG
This 90-nucleotide transfer RNA is filed under the name Phialemonium atrogriseum. RNAcentral describes it as "tRNA-Glu". It matches the Rfam family "tRNA". From Rfam's summary of the family: Transfer RNA (tRNA) molecules are approximately 80 nucleotides in length. The record is from RNAcentral. Lineage: Eukaryota; Fungi; Ascomycota; Sordariomycetes; Cephalothecales; Cephalothecaceae.